This is a long non-coding RNA of Drosophila teissieri, 910 nucleotides long. RefSeq lists it as uncharacterized. The record is from RefSeq and is a predicted model, not a curated record. The transcript is spliced from 4 exons. NCBI's taxonomy places the organism in Eukaryota, Metazoa, Arthropoda, Insecta, Diptera, Drosophilidae.
UGUAACUGGCCUUGAAAAUCCAUUUUAAAAAUUUGAAAUUAACUGAAUUUCGAAUAUCCAGAACCUAUGUGUAUAGCCAAAUAAAAUUCCUAGUGUAUCACUUUGGCCAGCUGCUGGCUACGCAAAGGACAAAUAAUUGUUACGCCGAAACGGAGUGGCGCCCAUUGGAUUUCAUGACCCUGGCACGCUGAUUAAAUUCGUAAUUCAGAGCGCGGCGCUCCACGCUCAUUUAAAGCGCAUAAGGCCGUGAAAUGCGAGGAGCACAGGCCCACGAAAUGCAAUAUUUCUCUCUGUGCUGCCCACAAGAUACCUAAAAGAGGAACUAAAUUGAAUUUUUGGACCCUGUAUAGUAGUUUUAGUCGUGAACUGAUCGAUUCCCUUUGAAGACCCGCCCUGAACUGUGUUCAAUUUGUUGCGAGUUUGGAAUUGCUUGUCAAACACUGCGCUCGCUUACGGAUUCCUGAGGUCCUGAAAACAUGGCAGGCACCCAAGCAAACAGUCGCUUUCAUAUCAAGGGAGGCCGAAAACAAACAAGUACCAGGCCAGCUGGCAGGCUUUUGUUGCAGCUUUCCAAUGGAAAUGGAGGUGGAGAGUCCCGUUCUGCUCCUUGCCAUGCUUGUUUGCCUGGGACUCCCACUCCCCCCUCCUGUUGCUGUUUCGGUUUCCCACCAGCGUCCUUAUUGCACGGCUGCCAGCUCAUUGAAAGAUUUAUCAUUCACCAGAAAUAGCAGGUUCUCGGAAAGGAGUGGGUGGCCUGAGAGGAGACUGGCGCACUGAGAGAAAUGGUGUUUGCGAAAUGAGAAUUUAUUCUUGCAUUGAGGUCUCAGGAAUAAGAAGCAUUGCUUUAAAGAUGUCUAGUUCGCUAGUUCCUAAUUUUCAGCACUUUAACUUAACAGGGAACUGCGGACCU